GGUUGGCAUAAGGUGGUACCAUG
This 23-nucleotide microRNA is filed under the name Tribolium castaneum (red flour beetle). Its description in RNAcentral is "tca-miR-3851l-5p". Lineage: Eukaryota; Metazoa; Arthropoda; Insecta; Coleoptera; Tenebrionidae. The record is from miRBase by way of RNAcentral.